RNAcentral lists this ribosomal RNA (497 nucleotides) under uncultured bacterium. RNAcentral describes it as "partial 16S ribosomal RNA". It matches the Rfam family "Bacterial small subunit ribosomal RNA", at positions 28 to 507 of the family's 1533-position model. The record is from RNAcentral.
GAUGAACGCUGGCGGCGUGCCUAAUACAUGCAAGUCGAGCGAACGGACGAGAAGCUUGCUUCUCUGAUGUUAGCGGCGGACGGGUGAGUAACACGUGCAUAACCUAACUAUAAGACUGGGAUAACUUCGGGAAACCGUAGCUAAUACCGGAUAAUAUUUUGAACCGCAUGGUUCAAAAGUUUAAGACGGUCUUGCUGUCACUUCUACAUGGAUCCGCGCUGCAUUAGCUAGUUGGUAAGGUAACGGCUUACCAAGGCAACGGUGCAUAGCCGACCUGAGAGGGUGAUGCGCCACACUGGAACUGAGACGCGGUCCUGACUCCUACGGGAGGCAGCAGUAGGGAAUCUUCCGCGCUGGGCGAAAGCCUGAAGGAGCAACGCCGCGUGAGUGAUGAAGGUCUUCGGAUCGUAAAACUCUGUUAUUAGGGAAGACCAUAUGUGUAAGUAACUGUGCACAUCUUGACGGUACCUAAUCAGAAAGCCACGGCUAACUACGUG